UAGGGAAUCUUCCGCAAUGGGCGAAAGCCUGACGGGGCAACGCCGCGUGAGUGAAGGAGGAUUUCGGUUCGUAAAGCUCUGUUGUUAGGGAAGAAUGAUUGUGUAGUAACUAUACACAGUAGAGACGGUACCUAACCAGAAAGCCACGGCUAACUACGUGCCAGCAGCCGCGGUAAUACGUAGGUGGCAAGCGUUGUCCGGAAUUAUUGGGCGUAAAGCGCGCGCAGGUGGUUUAAUAAGUCUGAUGUGAAAGCCCACGGCUCAACCGUGGAGGGUCAUUGGAAACUGUUAAACUUGAGUGCAGGAGAGAAAAGUGGAAUUCCUAGUGUAGCGGUGAAAUGCGUAGAGAUUAGGAGGAACACCAGUGGCGAAGGCGGCUUUUUGGCCUGUAACUGACACUGAGGCGCGAAAGCGUGGGGAGCAAACAGGAUUAGAUACCCUGGUAGUCCACGCCGUAAACGAUGAGUGCUAAGUGUUGGUCUCAUAAGAGAUCAGUGCUGCAGCUAACGCAUUAAGCACUCCGCCUGGGGAGUACGACCGCAAGGUUG
RNAcentral lists this ribosomal RNA (548 nucleotides) under uncultured bacterium. RNAcentral's name for it is "bacterial SSU rRNA". It matches the Rfam family "Bacterial small subunit ribosomal RNA", at positions 355 to 896 of the family's 1533-position model. The record is from RNAcentral.